AAUCAACGCUGGCGGCGUGCCUCAGACAUGCAAGUCGAACGAUUAAAGCUCUCUUCGGAGAGUGCAUAGAGUGGCGCACGGGUGAGUAACACGUAAGUAAUCUACCUUCGAGUGGGGAAUAACGUCCGGAAACGGACGCUAAUACCGCAUAAUGCAGCGGCAUCGUAAGAUGACAGUUGUUAAAGAUUUAUCGCUUGAAGAGGAGCUUGCGGCAGAUUAGCUAGUUGGUAAGGUAAUGGCUUACCAAGGCUACGAUCUGUAACCGGUCUAAGAGGACGGUCGGUCACACUGACACUGAAUAACGGGUCAGACUCCUACGGGAGGCAGCAGUCGGGAAUUUUGGGCAAUGGGCGAAAGCCUGACCCAGCAACGCCGCGUGAAGGAUGAAGUAUUUCGGUAUGUAAACUUCGAAAGAAUAGGAAGAAUAAAUGACGGUACUAUUUAUAAGGUCCGGCUAACUACGUGCCAGCAGCCGCGGUAAUACGUAGGGACCAAGCGUUGUUCGGAUUUACUGGGCGUAAAGGGCGCGUAGGCGGCAAUUCAAGUCAUCUGUGAAAUCUCCGGGCUUAACUUGGAACGGUCAGAUGAUACUGCUUUGCUAGAGUGCGGAAGGGGCAAUCGGAAUUCUUGGUGUAGCGGUGAAAUGCGUAGAUAUCAAGAGGAACACCUGAGGUGAAGACGGGUUGCUGGGCCGACACUGACGCUGAGUGCGCGAAAGCCAGGGGAGCAAACGGGAUUAGAUACCCCGGUAGUCCUGGCCCUAAACGAUGAAUACUUGGUGUCUGGAGUCUUUAAUGCUCCGGGUGCCGUCGCUAACGUUUUUAGUAUUCCGCCUGGGGAGUACGCUCGCAAGAGUG
This 857-nucleotide ribosomal RNA is filed under the name uncultured bacterium. RNAcentral describes it as "bacterial SSU rRNA". It matches the Rfam family "Bacterial small subunit ribosomal RNA", at positions 28 to 896 of the family's 1533-position model. The record is from RNAcentral.